Molecule: long non-coding RNA, 419 nt
Organism: Olea europaea var. sylvestris
Lineage: Eukaryota; Viridiplantae; Streptophyta; Magnoliopsida; Lamiales; Oleaceae
Exons: 2
Source: RefSeq, a predicted model, not a curated record
CACAUUGCAACUGAAUUUGGGGGUUCAUUGAGCUUGACCCUGUUCAUGCAACUGACUUUCAAGUUCCCGUUGAUUGUACUAGCGACAAAGCUUGCUACGAAACCUUGAGAGGCCACAAUCAAGACACUUUCAUAUGUUCAAGGAUGGUGUGUUUCAUUCUUACAUGCUCGUUGCAACGAAGAAACAUAUAUUACUGAAGGCAUCGACAAAAUUACUAAAAAAACUUUGAAACUAUUUCUACAAAUUCUCCUACCUCCUUGGAUGUGAUGAGAGUAGCUAAAUAUUUUACGUUGUACCAUAUGAUUUUCUAUUUAUAUUUAACAUACUGGUGUUUCAAUGGCAUCUGGAUAUGUGACUUAUUAUCCUUUUAUUUUCUAUUUAAUAGUAAUUGGAUGUUAGGAAAUAGAUUGUUUUAACUA